CCUACGGGAGGCAGCAGUAAGGAAUAUUGGACAAUGGACGCAAGUCUGAUCCAGCCAUGCCGCGUGAAGGAUUAAGGCCCUCUGGGUUGUAAACUUCUUUUAUAGGGGACGAAAAAAGGGCUUUCUAGCUCGACUGACGGUACCCUAUGAAUAAGCACCGGCUAACUCCGUGCCAGCAGCCGCGGUAAUACGGAGGGUGCAAGCGUUAUCCGGAUUCACUGGGUUUAAAGGGUGCGUAGGCGGGCAGUUAAGUCAGUGGUGAAAUCUCUGGGCUCAACCCGGAAACUGCCAUUGAUACUAUCUGUCUUGAAUAUUGUGGAGGUGAGCGGAAUAUGUCAUGUAGCGGUGAAAUGCUUAGAUAUGACAUAGAACACCGAUUGCGUAGGCAGCUCGCUACACAUAUAUUGACGCUGAGGCACGAAAGCGUGGGGAUCAAACAGGAUUAGAUACCCUGGUAGUCCACGCCCUAAACUAUGAUUACUCGACAUAUGCGAUACACUGUAUGUGUCUGAGCGAAAGCAUUAAGUAAUCCACCCUGGGAAGUACGACCGCAAGGUUGAAACGUUCAAAUGAAUUGACGG
RNAcentral lists this ribosomal RNA (581 nucleotides) under uncultured bacterium. RNAcentral describes it as "bacterial SSU rRNA". It matches the Rfam family "Bacterial small subunit ribosomal RNA", at positions 338 to 916 of the family's 1533-position model. The record is from RNAcentral.